This 22-nucleotide non-coding RNA is filed under the name Rattus norvegicus (Norway rat). Lineage: Eukaryota; Metazoa; Chordata; Mammalia; Rodentia; Muridae. The record is from RNAcentral.
UACAGAUGGGGUGAUUGUGGGU